RNAcentral lists this ribosomal RNA (393 nucleotides) under Listeria monocytogenes. RNAcentral's name for it is "SSU rRNA". It matches the Rfam family "Eukaryotic small subunit ribosomal RNA", at positions 1244 to 1653 of the family's 1831-position model. The record is from RNAcentral. Lineage: Bacteria; Bacillati; Bacillota; Bacilli; Caryophanales; Listeriaceae.
CAGAUUGAUAGCUCUUUCUCGAUUCCGUGGGUGGUGGUGCAUGGCCGUUCUUAGUUGGUGGAGCGAUUUGUCUGGUUAAUUCCGAUAACGAACGAGACUCUGGCAUGCUAACUAGUUACGCGACCCCCGAGCGGUCGGCGUCCCCCAACUUCUUAGAGGGACAAGUGGCGUUCAGCCACCCGAGAUUGAGCAAUAACAGGUCUGUGAUGCCCUUAGAUGUCCGGGGCUGCACGCGCGCUACACUGACUGGCUCAGCGUGUGCCUACCCUACGCCGGCAGGCGCGGGUAACCCGUUGAACCCCAUUCGUGAUGGGGAUCGGGGAUUGCAAUUAUUCCCCAUGAACGAGGAAUUCCCAGUAAGUGCGGGUCAUAAGCUUGCGUUGAUUAAGUCCC